GAUGAACGCUAGCGGCAGGCCUAAUACAUGCAAGACGAACGGUAAGUUGAGUAGCAAUACUUAGCCAAGAGUGUCGUACGGGUGCGUAACACGUAUGCAACCUACCCCUAUACAGGAGGAUAGCCUAGGGAAACCUGGAUUAACCCUUUCAUAGUAUUAUUGGAUGGCAUCAUUUGAUAAUUAAAACUGAGGUGGUAUAGGAUGGGCAUGCGUCUGAUUAGUUAGUUGGCGGGGUAAUGGCCCACCAAGACGAUGAUCAGUAGGGUUCGUGAGAGGGAAGACUCCCCCACACUGGCACUGAGAUACGGGCCAGACUCCU
This 319-nucleotide ribosomal RNA is filed under the name uncultured bacterium. RNAcentral describes it as "bacterial SSU rRNA". It matches the Rfam family "Bacterial small subunit ribosomal RNA", at positions 28 to 340 of the family's 1533-position model. The record is from RNAcentral.